RNAcentral lists this long non-coding RNA (392 nucleotides) under Cucumis sativus (cucumber). RNAcentral's name for it is "long non-coding RNA (CSAT_LNC000590)". Lineage: Eukaryota; Viridiplantae; Streptophyta; Magnoliopsida; Cucurbitales; Cucurbitaceae. The record is from RNAcentral.
GCGGAGUCGGUAAUGGUAAUGGUGCUAAGGUGGGAGCUAGUACGGGUGGUGUUGGCAAAGGAGUCGGAGAGACUUGCGGUGGUGGUAAAGGAGGCGGCAAUGGAGGAGGCGUCGCGGGGGGAGGUGGCAAAGCAGGGGGUAGCGACGGGGUGGAGACAGGUGAACUUUGUGGUGGUGGAAUGGUUGGACUUGUUGAUGGUGCAACAACAGUAGGUGGUGGUGUUGACAAUGGUGGAGAAGUCGCUACAGUUGGAGGUGGGGUAGUAGGGGGAGGAGAGACGGUUGGCAAGCUCGGUGGCUGUGCUGGGGCCUGAGCGAACGAGGAAGAGAAUAGAAAGGCAAGGCAGAUGACAAAAAAUGACCAUGAUUUGGAAGCCAUGGUUGGAGAUGGG